GACGAACGCUGGCGGCGUGCUUAACACAUGCAAGUCGAACGGAAAGGCCCUGCUUUUGUGGGGUUCUCGAGUGGCGAACGGGUGAGUAACACGUGAGUAACCUGCCCUUGACUUUGGGAUAACUUCAGGAAACUGGGGCUAAUACCGGAUAGGAGCUCCUGCUGCAUGGUGGGGGUUGGAAAGUUUCGGCGGUUGGGGAUGGACUCGCGGCUUAUCAGCUUGUUGGUGGGGUAGUGGCUUACCAAGGCUUUGACGGGUAGCCGGCCUGAGAGGGUGACCGGCCACAUUGGGACUGAGAUACGGCCCAGACUCCUACGGGAGGCAGCAGUGGGGAAUAUUGCACAAUGGGCGGAAGCCUGAUGCAGCAACGCCGCGUGCGGGAUGACGUCCUUCGGGUUGUAAACCGCUUUCGCCUGUGACGAAGCGUGAGUGACGGUAAUGGGUAAAGAAGCACCGGCUAACUACGUG
RNAcentral lists this ribosomal RNA (468 nucleotides) under uncultured bacterium. RNAcentral's name for it is "partial 16S ribosomal RNA". It matches the Rfam family "Bacterial small subunit ribosomal RNA", at positions 28 to 507 of the family's 1533-position model. The record is from RNAcentral.